CCCACACUUGCACAGUGAGGUUGCUAUGUU
RNAcentral lists this non-coding RNA (30 nucleotides) under Rattus norvegicus (Norway rat). Lineage: Eukaryota; Metazoa; Chordata; Mammalia; Rodentia; Muridae. The record is from RNAcentral.